RNAcentral lists this ribosomal RNA (21 nucleotides) under Trametes versicolor. RNAcentral describes it as "partial 18S ribosomal RNA". Lineage: Eukaryota; Fungi; Basidiomycota; Agaricomycetes; Polyporales; Polyporaceae. The record is from RNAcentral. RNAcentral also lists the same sequence under 9 other names.
UUUCCGUAGGUGAACCUGCGG